Molecule: ribosomal RNA, 391 nt
Filed under: uncultured bacterium
Lineage: Bacteria
Description: bacterial SSU rRNA
Rfam family: Bacterial small subunit ribosomal RNA
Source: RNAcentral
UAUUGCGCAAUGGGGGAAACCCUGACGCAGCAACGCCGCGUGCGGGAUGAAGGCCUUCGGGUUGUAAACCGCUUUCAGCAGGGGAGAUCCAAGACGGUACCUGCAGAAGAAGCCCCGGCUAACUACGUGCCAGCAGCCGCGGUAAUACGUAGGGGGCGAGCGUUAUCCGGAUUCAUUGGGCGUAAAGCGCGCGCAGGCGGGUUGCUAAGCGGGACCUCUAAUCUCAGGGCUCAACCUUGAGCCGGGUCCCGAACUGGCAGCCUCGGGUUCGGUAGGGGAGAUCGGAAUUCCCGGUGUAGCGGUGGAAUGCGCAGAUAUCGGGAAGAACACCGAUGGCGAAGGCAGAUCUCUGGGCCGCAACCGACGCUGAGGCGCGAAAGCUAGGGGAGCG